UUAUGACCAUUCCACAUUGAAAACACCAAUUCUCAUGCAAUCACCAAAGUUAAGCAAAGUGAAGUGUACUCAGUAACUAGAUGGGUGACCACUUGGUAAUACCAGGUGCUGUAAG
Non-coding RNA from Acanthosepion pharaonis, 115 nucleotides. The record is from the annotation of a GenBank genome assembly. NCBI's taxonomy places the organism in Eukaryota, Metazoa, Mollusca, Cephalopoda, Sepiida, Sepiidae.